AAUCAACCCAAAUUCAGCCCAAAAUUUCCCCCAAAAUUCCUCCAAAUUCACCCCAAAUCCAGCCCAAAAACCCCUGCAGGUCACCCUGAAAUCCACCCAAAAUUCACCCCAAAAUUCCACCCAAAAUCUACCCCAAAAUUCACCCCAAAUCCAGCACAAAAAUUCCCCCAAAAUUCCUCCAAAUUCACCCCAAAUCCACGCAAAAUCCGCCCCAAAAUUCCUCCAAAAUCCAGCCCAAAAAACCCCUGCAGGUGACCCCGAAAUCCACUCAAAAUUCACCCCAAAGUUCUCCCCAAAACCUCAAGGGUGACCCCAAAAUCUACCCCAAAAUUCACCCCAAAUUCACCCCAAAUCCAGCACAAAUUCAGCCCAAAAAUUCCCCCCAAAAUCCACCCCAAAAUUCCAUCCAAAAUCCACCCCAAAAUUCCACCCAAAUCCACCCCAAAAUUUCUCCAAACUCCACCUCAAAUACACCAAAUUUUACCCCAAAAUUCCCCCAAAACUUCACCCCAAAAUUCACCCAAAUCCACCCAAAAUUCCCUCAAAAUCCACCCAAAAUUUCUCCAAAAUCCACCUCAAAUCCACCCAAAAUUCCCCCCCAAAUUUCUCCAAUAUCCACCCCAAAUCCAUCCCAAAAUCCACCCAAAAUUCCCCACAAAUCAACACCAAAUCUGCCCCAAAUCCACCCCCAAAUGCCCCUCAAAAUCCACCCAAAAUUCUCACAAAAAUCCCCCAAAAAUCCACCCAAAAUCCCUCAAAAAUUCACCCCAAAAUUCCCCCAAUUUCCACCCCAAAUUCACCCAAAAUCCCCUCAAAAUUCCCCCAAAAUUUCUCCAAAAUCCACCUCAAAUUCACCCAAAAUUCCCCCCCAAAUUCCCCAAAUAUCCACCCCAAAUCUAUCCCAAAAUCCACCCCAAAUUCCCCACAAAUCAACACCAAAUCCACCCAAAAUCCCCCCAAAAAUCCACAAAAAUCCACCCAAAAUUCCCUCAAAAUCCCCUCAAAAUUUCCCCAAAAAAUCCCCAGCCCAGCUCCAGCCCCUGGAGACCCCAAAAUCCACCUGGAGACCCCAAAAUUCCCC
This 1081-nucleotide long non-coding RNA is filed under the name Zonotrichia albicollis (white-throated sparrow). Its description in RNAcentral is "lncRNA (ENSZALG00000001722.1)". The record is from RNAcentral. Lineage: Eukaryota; Metazoa; Chordata; Aves; Passeriformes; Passerellidae.